Molecule: ribosomal RNA, 474 nt
Filed under: uncultured bacterium
Lineage: Bacteria
Description: SSU rRNA
Rfam family: Bacterial small subunit ribosomal RNA
Source: RNAcentral
AGGACGAACGCUUGCGGCAUGCCUGAGAAAUGCAAGUCGAGCGGGGAGAGGGGCAACCCUUUUCUAGCGGCGAACGGUCGAGUAACGCGUAAGCAACCUGCCCGGAAGCGGGGGAUAAGCCGGAGAAAUCCGGGGUAAUACCGCAUAGCUUGGGGGGAGACCUCUCCCUUCAAGAAAGGUGAGCGAUCAUCACUUUCGGAGGGGCUUGCGGCCUAUCAGCUAGUUGGGGGGGUCACGGCCUCCCAAGGCGACGACGGGUAGCUGGUCUGAGAGGACGGCCAGCCGGACUGGGACUGAGACACGGCCCAGACUCCUACGGGGGGCAGCAAUCAGGAAUCUUGCACAAUGGACGAAAGUCUGAUGCAGCGAUGCCGCGUGGGUGAGGAAGUCCUUCGGGAUGUAAAGCCCUUUCUGGAGGACGAUGAUGACGGUACUCCAGGAAUAAGCCCCGGCUAACUACGCGCCAGCAGCCGC